RNAcentral lists this long non-coding RNA (1123 nucleotides) under Marmota monax (woodchuck). The record is from RNAcentral. Lineage: Eukaryota; Metazoa; Chordata; Mammalia; Rodentia; Sciuridae.
GGAAAUUCUGUGUUUUGCUUCAUUAUUUGCUGUAUUUUAAAAAUAUAUAAAACAGAGGAGAGAACGGGAGCUGUUUCUUUGAAUCCUAAUACAGUAUGUCUUCUUAAUGAACCACUGCAGUGCCCAGAAAACAGCUCCCUGCAAAUAAACAUGCUGCAAGUGAUUUAGCCACAAUGUCCAGACUGUGUAAACAUCUAAUUAUUACAAUAAAAUUGUCAAUAAAUUUACAUUACUGCUCCCUUUUCAAACGUUAACCAACUUUUUCUUUGCUUGAUAAAAGGGCAUAAAUUGUAUUUUUAUGUGUUGGUGUUAUUGUUUUCAUUACACUUCUUGCUGCACUCUAGACAAAAGACCUCAAGCCUUAAUGCCCUGAGUUAUUCCUGGAUGAAGAAAACUCCUACAGUUGUUUAUUAACGUAAUGUGCUGUGCUUCCUUUCACAGUGAGAUGGACGCAGAGCCUUCGCAAGCUGAUCUUUAGUCACGGCAUUUUUUGCAAAAAGCUAUAAUAAGCCAAUGUUGUAGUCACUGCAGCUUUAAGAGAGACACAAAGAAUUAAGGUCCCUUAUAAUCCACCAUUAGAACGGGAAUUUAAGUUAAAUUAGAAGCAGAAGAUAAAAGGGCAAAAUGUAAUAAUUUCCUUUAGCAAAGAUUAUGUCCAGUUUUCGGAAUUAUGAUAUCAUGUUGAACAUAAUUGUGGAAUAAGCCCCCCCCAUGCACGUAUUUCUUAUAUAACUGGUACAUUAACAUUAGAAAAGCAGAGCGAUAUUGAAUUCUAAUGAGGUCUGGCCUAUAUGCUCUGCUAGGAGAAGAAUGAGGAUAAUUCAUUUGUAUUCUACAAAGCGCUCGGAAAUCCACGCGCAUCCCUGUGGCUUAGCGCGUGGUGCUGCUCAUCUGUUCCUCCUUGGAGGGGGGGAUUCAUGGCUUUGAACAGCAUCUGAGCUGGGGAAAAUAGUUAACCACUUUCCUGCUAGCAGUUGUUUCCUAAUGGCUAUUUAAUCUGGUUGGUCUACAUAUGCACUGGCUUUACCUGUUCUCCUGGAGGAUCAUAAAAAUCGAGAUGUCUGUGUCUAUAGAGGCAGUGCACCUCCUAAGAGCCAAACAAAGAAAACAGAGUGAAAUUCAG